This 419-nucleotide ribosomal RNA is filed under the name bacterium. RNAcentral describes it as "partial 16S ribosomal RNA". It matches the Rfam family "Bacterial small subunit ribosomal RNA", at positions 355 to 776 of the family's 1533-position model. The record is from RNAcentral.
UGGGGGAUAUUGCACAAUGGGCGAAAGCCUGAUGCAGCGACGCCGCGUGGGGGAUGAAGGCCUUCGGGUUGUAAACUUCUUUUGCUCUGAACAAGGCAUGCUAAUGGGUGUGUUGAGUGUAGGGGUUGAUUAGCGCCGGCUAACUACGUGCCAGCAGCCGCGGUAAUACGUAGGGCGCGAGCGUUGUCCGGAAUCAUUGGGCGUAAAGGGCUUGUAGGUGGCUGGUUGCGUCUGUCGUGAAAGCACAUGGCUUAACUGUGGGUUGGAGGUGGGUACGGGCUGGCUUGAGUGCAGUGGGGGAGGGUGGGAUUCCUGGUGUGGCGGUGGAGUGCGCAGAUAUCAGGAGGAAUACCGGUGGCGAAGGCAGGUCUCUGGGCUGUUACUGACACUGAGGAGCGAAAGCAUGGGGAGCGAACAGG